Molecule: small RNA, 94 nt
Filed under: Castor canadensis (American beaver)
Lineage: Eukaryota; Metazoa; Chordata; Mammalia; Rodentia; Castoridae
Description: TUC338 (ENSCCNG00000019787.1)
Source: RNAcentral
CAGGACAGAUUCAGCACAGGUAGCUAGAGAAUAAGUUUUACCCACACAACCCAUCCAUGUGCCUCAAUCCUGACCUGGAGGGACCACCUCUAGA